CAAAGGAGCAAUCCGCUGAAAGAUGGACUCGCGUCCGAUUAGCCAGUUGGCGGGGUAACGGCCCACCAAAGCGACGAUCGGUAGCCGGACUGAGAGGUUGAACGGCCACAUUGGGACUGAGACACGGCCCAGACUCCUACGGGAGGCAGCAGUGGGGGAUAUUGCACAAUGGGGGAAACCCUGAUGCAGCAACGCCGCGUGAGUGAAGAAGGUCUUCGGAUUGUAAAGCUCUGUUCUUGGUGAAGAUAAUGACGGUAGCCAAGGAGAAAGCUCCGGCUAACUACGUGCCAGCAGCCGCGGUAAUACGUAGGGAGCGAGCGUUGUCCGGAUUUACUGGGUGUAAAGGGUGCGCAGGCGGCUCUGCAAGUCAGGCGUGAAAGCUAGGGGCUCAACCCCUAAACUGCGCUUGAAACUGUGGAGCUUGAGUGAAGUAGAGGCAGGCGGAAUUCCCGGUGUAGCGGUGAAAUGCGUAGAGAUCGGGAGGAACACCAGUGGCGAAGGCGGCCUGCUGGGCUUUAACUGACGCUCAGGCACGAAAGCAUGGGUAGCAAACAGGAUUAGAUACCCUGGUAGUCCAUGCCGUAAACGAUGAUUACUAGGUGUGGGGGGUCUGACCCCCUCC
This 622-nucleotide ribosomal RNA is filed under the name uncultured bacterium. Its description in RNAcentral is "bacterial SSU rRNA". It matches the Rfam family "Bacterial small subunit ribosomal RNA", at positions 202 to 842 of the family's 1533-position model. The record is from RNAcentral.